UCUGCCUCUCACCCUUCAUAUCCAUAAACACCUGUGCACAGUCGCGACCCUUGAGUCUUUCGGGACUCCGUGGUGUCUUGACGAUCUUAUCAAACAACAAUGUAACCAAUGUAAUCAUUAUUAUAACAUAAUAAAACUUUUAACAACGGAUCUCUUGGCUCUCGCAUCGAUGAAGAACGCAGCGAAAUGCGAUAAGUAAUGUGAAUUGCAGAAUUCAGUGAAUCAUCGAAUCUUUGAACGCACCUUGCACUCUUUGGUAUUCCGAAGAGUAUGCCUGUUUGAGUGUCAUGAAAUCUUCAACCAUUCUGUUGGGUGUUUACGCCUGGCGGUUUGGAUUGGACUUGGGUGUUUGUCGGACAAGCAAUUGUCUGACUCACCUUAAAAGGAUCAGUGGAUCUAUUGUCUUGGACUUUUGCAUUGCAAUUGGUUUUGACUUGGCGUAAUAAGUAUUUCGCUAAGGACAGUGCUUCGGUGCUGGCCAUUGCUUUUUCAACCGGACUUUUGGNAAAUCGCUUUUCUAACCCUAAUUUUAUUUGACAUCUGGCCUCAAAUCAGGUAGGACUACCCGCUGAACUUAAGCU
RNAcentral lists this small RNA (581 nucleotides) under Cryptococcus sp. MOA-2. Its description in RNAcentral is "eukaryotic LSU rRNA". The stretch from base 135 to 288 matches the Rfam family "5.8S ribosomal RNA". The record is from RNAcentral. Lineage: Eukaryota; Fungi; Basidiomycota; Tremellomycetes; Tremellales; Cryptococcaceae.